RNAcentral lists this long non-coding RNA (279 nucleotides) under Cairina moschata (Muscovy duck). RNAcentral's name for it is "domestica (muscovy Duck (domestic type)) lncRNA (ENSCMMG00000000105.1)". Lineage: Eukaryota; Metazoa; Chordata; Aves; Anseriformes; Anatidae. The record is from RNAcentral.
AUGUGUUUGUUCCCAUACAGAUUGCAUUUUUCCUUUUUAAAGAUAAGUGGAUUUGAUGCAUUUAGUUUUGCUGGUAUGUUGUGUGAUAAUUUAACUGAUCUCUUACUGUCUUUUCAGGCUGAAACUAUGAAAAUCAAUGCAUCAAACAUGUUUCUCCAAGGCCAAAUAAAAGAAGUUGAAGGACAUAUCACAGGAAUUUUAGGUAAACUGAGUAUCACUCAGGAAAAUCAAAGGAUACUGAAAAUGUACAUUACUCUGGGAUAUAUUAUUUGGACUUAG